UAGGGGAUCUUCCACAAUGGGCGCAAGCCUGAUGGAGCAACACCGCGUGAGUGAAGAAGGGUUUCGGCUCGUAAAGCUCUGUUGUUAAAGAAGAACACGUAUGAGAGUAACUGUUCAUACGUUGACGGUAUUUAACCAGAAAGUCACGGCUAACUACGUGCCAGCAGCCGCGGUAAUACGUAGGUGGCAAGCGUUAUCCGGAUUUAUUGGGCGUAAAGAGAGUGCAGGCGGUUUUCUAAGUCUGAUGUGAAAGCCUUCGGCUUAACCGGAGAAGUGCAUCGGAAACUGGAUAACUUGAGUGCAGAAGAGGGUAGUGGAACUCCAUGUGUAGCGGUGGAAUGCGUAGAUAUAUGGAAGAACACCAGUGGCGAAGGCGGCUACCUGGUCUGCAACUGACGCUGAGACUCGAAAGCAUGGGUAGCGAACAGGAUUAGAUACCCUGGUAGUCCAUGCCGUAAACGAUGAGUGCUAGGUGUUGGAGGGUUUCCGCCCUUCAGUGCCGGAGCUAACGCAUUAAGCACUCCGCCUGGGGAGUACGACCGCAAGGUUG
This 550-nucleotide ribosomal RNA is filed under the name uncultured bacterium. RNAcentral describes it as "bacterial SSU rRNA". It matches the Rfam family "Bacterial small subunit ribosomal RNA", at positions 355 to 896 of the family's 1533-position model. The record is from RNAcentral.